CACCCCUCAAGCGCUGCUUCGCUUGGAGUUGGGGCUCUUGCAGCGAGCACUUAGUGCCCUGCAAGCCCCGAAAUUCAGCGGCGAGCCCGCCGGCACACCGAGCGCAGUAGAACUACUUCUCGCUCAGGGCGUGCGGCGCGGCGCUGCCGACCCCUAAACUUUUUGAAA
Molecule: unclassified non-coding RNA, 168 nt
Filed under: uncultured Togniniales
Lineage: Eukaryota; Fungi; Ascomycota; Sordariomycetes; Togniniales
Description: sequence contains ITS2
Source: RNAcentral